AAAAGUCGUAACAAGGUUUCCGUAGGUGAACCUGCGGAAGGAUCAUUAAUAAUCAAAA
Molecule: ribosomal RNA, 58 nt
Filed under: Phakopsora myrtacearum
Lineage: Eukaryota; Fungi; Basidiomycota; Pucciniomycetes; Pucciniales; Phakopsoraceae
Description: partial 18S ribosomal RNA
Rfam family: Eukaryotic small subunit ribosomal RNA (bases 1-48)
Source: RNAcentral